RNAcentral lists this ribosomal RNA (459 nucleotides) under uncultured bacterium. RNAcentral's name for it is "partial 16S ribosomal RNA". It matches the Rfam family "Bacterial small subunit ribosomal RNA", at positions 338 to 795 of the family's 1533-position model. The record is from RNAcentral.
CCUACGGGAGGCAGCAGUGAGGAAUAUUGGUCAAUGGGCGCGAGCCUGAACCAGCCAAGUCGCGUGAGGGAAGACGGUCCUGUGGAUUGUAAACCUCUUUUGUCAGGGAGCAAAAGACGCCACGCGUGGCGUUCAGAGAGUACCCGAAGAAAAAGCAUCGGCUAACUCAGUGCCAGCAGCCGCGGUAAUACGGAGGAUGCGAGCGUUAUCCGGAUUUAUUGGGUUUAAAGGGUGCGCAGGCGGAAGAUCAAGUCAGCGGUAAAAUUGAGAGGCUCAACCUCUGCGAGCCGUUGAAACUGGUUGUCUUGAGUGAGUGAGAAGUAUGCGGAAUGCGUGGUGUAGCGGUGAAAUGCAUAGAUAUCGCGCAGAACUCCGAUUGCGAAGGCAGCAUACCGGCGCUCAACUGACGCUGAGGCACGAAAGUGUGGGUAUCGAACAGGAUUAGAUACCCCGGUAGUC